GAUGAACGCUGGCGGCGUGCCUAAUACAUGCAAGUCGAGCGAACGGACGAGAAGCUUGCUUUUCUGAUGUUAGCGGCGGACGGGUGAGUAACACGUGGAUAACCUACCUAUAAGACUGGGAUAACUUCGGGAAACCGGAGCUAAUACCGGAUAAUAUUUUGAACCGCAUGGUUCAAAAGUGAAAGACGGUCUUGCUGUCACUUAUAGAUGGAUCCGCGCUGCAUUAGCUAGUUGGUAAGGUAACGGCUUACCAAGGCAACGAUGCAUAACCGACCUGAGAGGGUGAUCGGCCACACUGGAACUGAGACACGGUCCAGACUCCUACGGGAGGCAGCAGUAGGGAAUCUUCCGCAAUGGGCGAAAGCCUGACGGAGCGACGCCGCGUGAGUGAUGAAGGUCUUCGGAUCGUAAAACUCUGUUAUUAGGGAAGAACAUAUGUGUAAGUAACUGUGCACAUCUUGACGGUACCUAAUCAGAAAGCCACGGCUAACUACGUG
Molecule: ribosomal RNA, 497 nt
Filed under: uncultured bacterium
Lineage: Bacteria
Description: partial 16S ribosomal RNA
Rfam family: Bacterial small subunit ribosomal RNA
Source: RNAcentral